This is a long non-coding RNA of Salarias fasciatus (jewelled blenny), 101 nucleotides long. RefSeq lists it as uncharacterized. Lineage: Eukaryota; Metazoa; Chordata; Actinopteri; Blenniiformes; Blenniidae. The record is from RefSeq and is a predicted model, not a curated record. The transcript has 3 exons.
UCUUGAUAUACAGCAACACCAUUAAUAACAACAACUACAACACAGAAGUAAAGUAAGGACUUGAACAUAUAAAGCUUCAACAUGAACAGAAGGUGACUAAU